GACGAACGCUGGCGGCGUGCUUAACACAUGCAAGUCGAACGCUGAAGCUCAGCUUUUGUUGGGUGGAUGAGUGGCGAACGGGUGAGUAACACGUGAGUAACCUGCCUCCUUCUUUGGGAUAACGCCCGGAAACGGGUGCUAAUACUGGAUAUUCACUGGUCUUCGCAUGGGGGUUGGUGGAAAGGGUUUUUCUGGUGGGGGAUGGGCUCGCGGCCUAUCAGCUUGUUGGUGGGGUGAUGGCCUACCAAGGCUUUGACGGGUAGCCGGCCUGAGAGGGUGACCGGGCACAUUGGGACUGAGAUCCGGCCCAGACUCCUACGGGAGGCAGCAGUGGGGAAUAUUGCACAAUGGGCGCAAGCCUGAUGCAGCGACGCCGCGUGAGGGAUGGAGGCCUUCGGGUUGUGAACCUCUUUCGCUCAUGGUCAAGCCGCAACAAUGGUUGUGGUGAGGGUAGUGGGUAAAGAAGCGCCGGCUAACUACGUG
RNAcentral lists this ribosomal RNA (483 nucleotides) under uncultured bacterium. RNAcentral's name for it is "partial 16S ribosomal RNA". It matches the Rfam family "Bacterial small subunit ribosomal RNA", at positions 28 to 507 of the family's 1533-position model. The record is from RNAcentral.